GGCGCUUACCACUUUGUGAUUCUUGACUGUGUUGAAGGCGUAACAAGUUAACCGUAGGGGAACCUGCGGUUGGAUCACCUCCUUACCUUAAAGAA
Molecule: ribosomal RNA, 95 nt
Filed under: Citrobacter freundii
Lineage: Bacteria; Pseudomonadati; Pseudomonadota; Gammaproteobacteria; Enterobacterales; Enterobacteriaceae
Description: partial 16S ribosomal RNA
Rfam family: Bacterial small subunit ribosomal RNA (bases 1-85)
Source: RNAcentral